This 251-nucleotide ribosomal RNA is filed under the name uncultured bacterium. RNAcentral's name for it is "partial 16S ribosomal RNA". It matches the Rfam family "Bacterial small subunit ribosomal RNA", at positions 524 to 774 of the family's 1533-position model. The record is from RNAcentral.
UACGUAGGGGGCAAGCGUUGUCCGGAAUCAUUGGGCGUAAAGAGCGUGUAGGCGGCCCGAUAAGUCCGCCGUGAAAGUCCAGGGCUCAACCCUGGAAUGCCGGUGGAAACUGUCGGGCUAGAGUCCGGAAGAGGCGAGUGGAAUUCCCGGUGUAGCGGUGAAAUGCGCAGAUAUCGGGAGGAACACCAAUGGCGAAAGCAGCUCGCUGGGACGGUACUGACGCUGAGACGCGAAAGCGUGGGGAACAAACA